UACGUGGGGGGCAAGCGUUGUCCGGAUUUAUUGGGCGUAAAGAGCGUGUAGGCGGCUAGGUAGGUCCGUUGUGAAAACUCGAGGCUCAACCUCGAGACGCCGGUGGAAACCGUAAAGCUAGAGUCCGGAAGAGGAGAGUGGAAUUCCUGGUGUAGCGGUGAAAUGCGCAGAUAUCAGGAGGAACACCCGUGGCGAAAGCGGCUCUCUGGGACGGUACUGACGCUGAGACGCGAAAGCGUGGGGAGCAAACAGG
RNAcentral lists this ribosomal RNA (253 nucleotides) under uncultured bacterium. RNAcentral describes it as "partial 16S ribosomal RNA". It matches the Rfam family "Bacterial small subunit ribosomal RNA", at positions 524 to 776 of the family's 1533-position model. The record is from RNAcentral.